RNAcentral lists this ribosomal RNA (430 nucleotides) under Pseudomonadota bacterium. RNAcentral's name for it is "Proteobacteria bacterium partial 16S ribosomal RNA". It matches the Rfam family "Bacterial small subunit ribosomal RNA", at positions 355 to 776 of the family's 1533-position model. Lineage: Bacteria; Pseudomonadati; Pseudomonadota. The record is from RNAcentral.
UGGGGAAUAUUGGACAAUGGGGGGAACCCUGAUCCAGCCAUGCCGCGUGUGUGAAGAAGGCCUUAUGGUUGUAAAGCACUUUAAGCGAGGAGGAGGGUACUGGUAUUAAUACUACCAGGUACUGGACGUUACUCGCAGAAUAAGCACCGGCUAACUCUGUGCCAGCAGCCGCGGUAAUACAGAGGGUGCGAGCGUUAAUCGGAUUUACUGGGCGUAAAGCGUGCGUAGGAGGCUAAUUGAGUCGGAUGUGAAAUCCCCGAGCUUAACUUGGGAAUUGCAUUCGAUACUGGUUAGCUAGAGUGUGGGAGAGGAUGGUAGAAUUCCAGGUGUAGCGGUGAAAUGCGUAGAGAUCUGGAGGAAUACCGAUGGCGAAGGCAGCCAUCUGGCCUAACACUGACGCUGAGGUACGAAAGCAUGGGGAGCAAACAGG